Molecule: ribosomal RNA, 521 nt
Filed under: uncultured bacterium
Lineage: Bacteria
Description: bacterial SSU rRNA
Rfam family: Archaeal small subunit ribosomal RNA
Source: RNAcentral
AACCUCCGCAAUGUGAGAAAUCGCGACGGGGGGAUCCCAAGUGCCAUUCUUAACGGGAUGGCUUUUCAUUAGUGUAAAGAGCUUUUGGAAUAAGAGCUGGGCAAGACCGGUGCCAGCCGCCGCGGUAACACCGGCAGCUCUAGUGGUAGCAAUUUUUAUUGGGCCUAAAGCGUCCGUAGCCGGUUUAAUAAGUCUCUGGUGAAAUCCUGUAGCUUAACUGUGGGAAUUGCUGGAGAUACUAUUAGACUUGAGACCGGGAGAGGUUAGAGGUACUCCCAGGGUAGAGGUGAAAUUCUGUAAUCCUGGGAGGACCGCCUGUUGCGAAGGCGUCUAACUGGAACGGUUCUGACGGUGAGGGACGAAAGUUAGGGGCGCGAACCGGAUUAGAUACCCGGGUAGUCCUAACCGUAAACGAUGCGGACUUGGUGUUGGGGUGGCUUUGAGCUGCUCCAGUGCCGAAGGGAAGCUGUUAAGUCCGCCGCCUGGGAAGUACGGUCGCAAGACUGAAACUUAAGGAAGUU